AUAAUGGAGAGUUUGAUCCUGGCUCAGGACGAACGCUGGCGGCGUGCCUAAUACAUGCAAGUCGAGCGGAACCAUUGGAGCUUGCUCCUUUGGUUUAGCGGCGGACGGGUGAGUAACACGUGGGCAACCUGCCCUGCAGAUCGGGAUAACUCCGGGAAACCGGUGCUAAUACCGAAUAGUUUACGGCCUCUCAUGAGGCGGUAC
This 204-nucleotide ribosomal RNA is filed under the name Planococcus sp. CP5-4_YE. Its description in RNAcentral is "partial 16S ribosomal RNA". It matches the Rfam family "Bacterial small subunit ribosomal RNA", at positions 1 to 201 of the family's 1533-position model. The record is from RNAcentral. Lineage: Bacteria; Bacillati; Bacillota; Bacilli; Caryophanales; Caryophanaceae.